CAUGAGCUGCAAUGGGUGGAGACGGAGGCGCAGAGAACCUCAACUUCUUAAUUUUAUCUUGCAGUUGCCAUGGACCAUCUCUUUGUAUACGGCAUUUGUAGCUUAUUCUUGCAGUCAGUGAAGUAAAGUGCGUUGAUGCUCAUACAAUCUGUUACCAUAAUACACACAGGGUGUUCGCGCCAGGUGUGGGCCCCGGUUCGUUUCAGUAAAAAACUAUAUGUGCCCGAGACGUUUUCAGGUGUGCGCGGCUCGUAGAGAACACGACGGGGGCACUGUAUGUUUACGAUAGAGCCCGAUAAAGGCACCCUUAGCAUAUAACCGCCAUCCUGGCGAUAGUGCCUACGGUCUGUCGCCCACGUUAUCUUUUACCAGAAAAAUACGCUCGCUCGAAAUUUCAACUUUGAAAUUUGUCUUCGAUUUCAACUGGUGAUCAAACUGGAAGACGUUUAGUUUUUUGUUUGGCUCUCAUUCUCGACGUCAUCGUCAACGAAUCCGAAUUCUAACAGAACAGAAGGAGCACCUUUUGCUUUUCUUGUAGUUUUUGCGAUAUCGCAGUGAAAUGCUUACGAACAGAGUUCUUCGUCCUUCUGCUAGGAGACAUUGGAGAAAUCUGCUAACUGAUAGCUUACCCUAUGCGAACUUCUGCUCUGUGACAGCGCUUAUCGCAUUCCGGAAACUCUGCCUGUAGCAUCCGUUCCUAUUAAAAAUGAAGUCCCAGCCAAAUGUGACGAUAUCGUUCAUACCCAGCCCGUCGUCUGCGCGGAGAGGAAAACGGAGAAGAGCUGCGUGCGUUCCAAAUUUUCAUUCACAGAGCCGCAGUACCAUACGACGGUAGCUUUACAACGCCACACAGGGCCUUCUUGAGAAAUUAUAGAAAAAGUUGCUCAAUGACGAAAUCGUCGUCGUGGAAAACAGAUUCAUCGUCCACCAUUCACUGGAUGAAAACGCCAACCAAAGGCUUCGCUUUUUGCGGCUUCCUCAAAGAUCGGCGAUAUCGCCAUGUCAUGACCACCCAGUUCUACAUGUACUCCACAGUUCCGGUUGCCACAUCAGUAGCGGAAAUUAGCUGGAUCUUACGUGAGAAUUCAUCAAAAAAGAACCCCAGUUGAAACUUCAGAAUAAGUGUUCCAAAAUUCGUCGAGCGAAAGGUGUGCUGACGACAUCGUCUGGGCAGAGAAUUGCAUUUAUUGACAAUAUUGUCUGAAUUUCCCGAGGCUUCACACCUGUCUAAAACCUUCCCAAAGUGUUUUUUCCCUUUCAUUUUAAUGUUUUUUUUAAUUAGAUGCAUUCAGCGUAAUACGAAAUUUUUUAUUUCAUUUUCAGUUGUGAAUAUCUUAAUGUUUGAGGGUACAUACAAUUAAAGUAAUAAA
This is a long non-coding RNA of Paramacrobiotus metropolitanus, 1370 nucleotides long. RefSeq lists it as uncharacterized. The transcript is spliced from 4 exons. The record is from RefSeq and is a predicted model, not a curated record. Lineage: Eukaryota; Metazoa; Tardigrada; Eutardigrada; Parachela; Macrobiotidae.